Molecule: ribosomal RNA, 513 nt
Filed under: uncultured bacterium
Lineage: Bacteria
Description: bacterial SSU rRNA
Rfam family: Bacterial small subunit ribosomal RNA
Source: RNAcentral
UUGCUCCUCUGACGUUAGCGGCGGACGGGUGAGUAACACGUGGAUAACCUACCUAUAAGACUGGGAUAACUUCGGGAAACCGGAGCUAAUACCGGAUAAUAUAUUGAACCGCAUGGUUCAAUAGUGAAAGACGGUUUUGCUGUCACUUAUAGAUGGAUCCGCGCCGCAGUAGCUAGUUGGUAAGGUAACGGCUUACCAAGGCAACGAUGCGUAGCCGACCUGAGAGGGUGAUCGGCCACACUGGAACUGAGACACGGUCCAGACUCCUACGGGAGGCAGCAGUAGGGAAUCUUCCGCAAUGGGCGAAAGCCUGACGGAGCAACGCCGCGUGAGUGAUGAAGGUCUUCGGAUCGUAAAACUCUGUUAUUAGGGAAGAACAAAUGUGUAAGUAACUAUGCACGUCUUGACGGUACCUAAUCAGAAAGCCACGGCUAACUACGUGCCAGCAGCCGCGGUAAUACGUAGGUGGCAAGCGUUAUCCGGAAUUAUUGGGCGUAAAGCGCGCGUAGGCGG